UCCGCCCCCGGCCGCCAUUUUGGAUUUGGCCCCGCCCCCUUUUUGAGGCCCGGUUUCGUUUUAAGGCGAAAACGAACAAUUUUGGUUAAAAAAAACACCACCAAAAUUCCUUUUUUUCCCCUUUUUUCCCUUUUUUUCUUUUUUUUCUCCUUUUUUCUCCUUUUUUUCUCCUUUUUUCUCCUUUUUUUCUCCUUUUUUCUCCUUUUUUUCUCCUUUUUUCUCCUUUUUUUCUCCUUUUUUCUCCUUUUUUUCUCCUUUUUUCUCCUUUUUUUCUCCUUUUUUCUCCUUUUUUUCUCCUUUUUUCUCCUUUUUUUCUCCUUUUUUCUCCUUUUUUUCUCCUUUUUUCUCCUUUUUUUCCCUUUUUUCUCUUUUUUCUCCUUUUUUUCUCUUUUUUCUCCUUUUUUCUCCUUUUUUCUCUUUUUUUUCUCCUUUUUUUUUCUCUUUUUUCCCUUUUUUUUCUGUCCCCAUUCACAUUUUGGGGUGAAAACGGUGAAUUUUGGGAGCCCUGCGAUAACUCCUCAAUUCUGGGGGAAAAUCCCUCAUUUUCGGGGCUGUUUUUACCUUUUCUGACAGUUUUGCCCCAAACUGCAGUUUUUUACACUCUCAAAAUCCCCAUUUUUAACCCCAAAUAUACAUUUUUGAUACUCAAAAUCCCCAUUUUUACCCCCAGAUCCCCAUUUUUUACACUCAAAAAUCCCCAUUUUGCCACAAAUUCCCAUUUCUCAGUCCCCAAAAUCCCCAUUUUGCCCCCAAGCCCCAUUUUAUUAUUCUCAAAAAUCCC
Molecule: long non-coding RNA, 781 nt
Filed under: Chrysolophus pictus (golden pheasant)
Lineage: Eukaryota; Metazoa; Chordata; Aves; Galliformes; Phasianidae
Description: lncRNA (ENSCPIG00010012835.1)
Source: RNAcentral